Molecule: long non-coding RNA, 333 nt
Filed under: Paramuricea clavata
Lineage: Eukaryota; Metazoa; Cnidaria; Anthozoa; Malacalcyonacea; Plexauridae
Source: RNAcentral
AUGGUUAUAUUGCGACUUUGAAAUUUAUACAGGAAGAAGUCCAGAUAUUCAUUGCAACCGAUUUGGGUAUGACGUGGUGAUCUGAUAUCAGUUUGGUUACAGUCUUAGGUCUUUUGUAGUACAAUAUAAAGGAAAUAUUUUCACCACAUAAUCCAAUUAUGUGCUUUGGCAAACAUUACUGCUUUAGCAAACAUUACUGCCUUGGAAAACAUUACUUUUUUUAUAACUACUAAUUAUGAUGAUGCCAGUCCAACAACACUUGGUCAUGCUAUUUGCAAAUAUUUUCAUGUUCUAGAUUGUGAAAACAAUCAAUUUCUAAACAAAUGAGUAGUG